RNAcentral lists this ribosomal RNA (1480 nucleotides) under uncultured Bordetella sp. RNAcentral's name for it is "partial 16S-23S ribosomal RNA intergenic spacer". It matches the Rfam family "Bacterial small subunit ribosomal RNA". The record is from RNAcentral. Lineage: Bacteria; Pseudomonadati; Pseudomonadota; Betaproteobacteria; Burkholderiales; Alcaligenaceae.
GGUUUGAUUGUAGCUCAGAUUGAACAUGGCGGGAUGCUUUACACAUGCAAGUCGAACGGCAGCACGGACUUCGGUCUGGUGGCGAGUGGCGAACGGGUAGGUAAUGUAUCCAGACGUGCCCCUAGUAGCGGGGGAUAACUACGCGAAAGCGUAGCUAUUACCACAUACGCCCUUCGGGGAAAGCGGGGGACCUUCGGGCCUCGCACUAUUAGAGCGGCCGAUAUCGGAUGGCCUAGUUGGUGGGGUAACGGCUCGCAAGGCGACGAUCCGUAGCUGGUUUGAGAGAGGACGACCAGCCACACUGGGACUGAGAUACAGCCCCAGACUCCUACGGGAGGCAGCAGUGGGGAAUUUUGGACAAUGGGGGAAACCCUGAUCCAGCCAUCCCGCGUGUGCGAUGAAGGCCUUCGGGUUGUAAGCACUUUGGCAGGAAAGAAGCAGCUGGGAUAUGCCCGUGCAACUGACAGUACCUGCAGAAUAAGCCACACCGGCUAACCGUGCCAGCAGCCGCGGUAAUACGUAGGGUGGCAUUAAUCGGAAUUACUGGGCGUAAAGCGUGCAGGCGGUUCAGGCGAAAGAUGUGAAAUCCCAGAGCUUAACUUUGGAACUGCAUUUUUAACUACCGAGCUAGAGUGUGUCAGAGGGAGGUGGAAUUCCGCGUGUAGCGAUGCGUAGACUGUGCGGAGGAACACCGAUGGCGAAGGCAGCCUCCUGAAAUAACACUUCGACGCUCAUGCACGAAAGCGUGGGGAGCAAACGAGUUAGAUACCCCUGGUAGUCCACGCCCUAAACGAUGUCAACUAGCUGUUGGGGCCUUCGGGCCUUGGUAGCGCUAACGCGUGAAGUUGACCGCCUGGGAAGUACGGUCGCAAGAUUAAAACUCAAAGGUGGCGGGGACCGCACAAGCGGUGGAUGAUGUGGAUUAAUUUGAUGCCGCGAAAAACCUUACCUACCCUUGGUAUGCUCUGGAAUCCCGAAGAAGUUUGGGAGUGCUCGCAAGAGAACGGAACACAGGUGCUGCAUGGCUGUCGUCAGCUCGUGUCGUGAGAUGUUGGGUUAAGUCCCGCAACAGAGCGCAACCCUUGUCAAGUGAAUUUGCUACGAAAGGGCACUCUAAUGAGACUGCCGGUGACAAACCGGAGGAAGGUGGGGAUGACGUCAAGUCCUCAUGGCCACCUAUGGGUAGGGCUUCACCCACGUCAUACAAUGAAUGGGACAGAGGGUCGCCAACCCGCGAGAGGCCAAUCAGAAACCCGAUCGUAGUCCGGAUCGCAGUCUGCAACUCGAUGAACUGCGUGAAGUCGGAAUCACUAGUAAUCGCGCCCGGAUCAGCAUGUCGCGGUGAAUACGUUCCCAGGUCUUGUACACACCGCCCGUCACACCAUGGGAGUGGGUUUUGCAGAAGUAGUUAAGCCCAACCGUAAGGAGGGCGAUUACCACAGUAGGAUUCAUGACUGGGAGUGAAGUCGUAACAAGGUAG